UCAAGUAAACAAGAGCACAAGGUGGAUGCCUAAGCACCAGAAGCCGAUGAAGGACGUGACAAGCUGCGAAAAGCUACGGGGAGGAGCAAAUAUCCAUUGAUCCGUAGAUAUCCGAAUGGGGGAACCCACUUAAGUAAACCUUAAGUACUGCAUACUGAAUCCAUAGGUAUGUAGGGGGAACGAGGCGAACUGAAACAUCUAAGUAGCUUCAGGAAGAGAAAGAAACAUCGAUUUCCUAAGUAGCGGCGAGCGAACGGGAAAGAGCCCAAACCAUGCAUGUAAGUGUAUGGGGUUAGGACUGCGAGGUGGCAAGACUAAGGAUAGAUGAAUUGUAUGGAAAGACAAACGAUAGGCGUGAGAGUCGCGUAAUCGAAAUCCGAAGGAAGCCUAGCAGUAUCCAGAGUAGCACGGGACACGAGAAAUCCCGUGUGAACGAGCGGAGACCACUCCGUAAGGCUAAAUACUAACUGGUGACUGAUAGAGUAAUAGUACUGUGAAGGAAAGGUGAAAAGGACCCCGGGAGGGGAGUGAAAGAGAACCUGAAACCUUGUGUUUACAUACUGUGGAAGCACGUUAAAGUGCGACUGCGUACUUUUUGUAGAACGGUCCGGCGAGUUACGCAUAUAGGUAGGUUAAGGGCUAAGAGGUCUGGAGCCGAAGUGAAAGCGAGCGUUAAAAGCGCGAAGAUCUAUAUGUGUAGACCCGAAACCGGGUGAUCUACCCAUGAGCAGUGUGAAGUUGCUGUAAGAGGCAAUGGAGGCGCGAACACACAUCUGUUGAAAAAGGUGGUGAUGACUUGUGGGUAGGGGAGAAAUUCCAAUCGAACUCGGAGAUAGCUGGUUCUCCUCGAAAUAGCUUUAGGGCUAGCCUUUCUUUAGUCUACUGCAGGUAGAGCACUGAAUUUCCUAGGGGGCGUCAAAGUUUGCCGAAGAAUAUCAAACUCCGAAUGGCAGUUAGAUGAUGAGAAGGAGUCAGACCAUAUGAGAUAAGUCGGAUGGUCAAAAGGGAAAGAGCCCAGAUCUGCAGCUAAGGUCCCAAAGGUAGUGUUAAGUGUGAAAGGAUGUGCGACUUCAUAGACAGCUAGGAUGUUGGCUCAGAAGCAGCCAUACAUUGAAAGAGUGCGUAACAGCUCACUAGUCGAGAGGUGGUGCGCCGAAAAUACACGGGGCUAAAACACUACACCGAAGCUCAGGGAUUCGAAAGAAUCGGUAGAGGAGCAUUGUUAGUUCGUAGAAGCCGUACUGAUAAAGAGCGGUGGAGGGCUAAGAAGAGAGAAUGCCGGAAUGAGUAGCGAGACUGAAGUGAGAAUCUUCAGGACCGAAUAUCCAAGGUUUCCAGGGUAAAGCUUGUCUUCCCUGGGUUAGUCGGGGCCUAAGGCGAGGUCGAAAGACGUAGUCGAUGGACAGCAGGUUGAUAUUCCUGCACUACUGUAUAUCAGAACUGUGAGGACGCGGUUUAAAGAGGUGAGUCAAGUGAAGGAACUUGAUUGGACAUGGAGGCCAGGUUAGGGGCAAAUACCUUAACGGAAUGGUAAGGACAUGAACGAUAGGGAACAAUAAAAGUACCGAAAGAGCUGAAUAAACUGCCAAGAAAAGUCACUAUUGCGUAUAUAGUACCCGUACCGCAAACCGACACAGGUGGAUGAGGAGAGAAUCCUAAGGUCGACGGGAGAAGUAUUGUUAAGGAACUCGGCAAAAAUGCCCCGUAACUUCGGGAGAAGGGGUGCUGAUAGUAAUCAGCCGCAGUGAAUAGGCCCAAGCAACUGUUUAGCAAAAACACAGGUCUAUGCGAAACCGAGAGGUGAAGUAUAUGGGCUGACGCCUGCCCGGUGCUGGAAGGUUAAGAGGAGAGGUUAGCGUAAGCGAAGCUUUGAAUCCAAGCCCCAGUAAACGGCGGCCGUAACUAUAACGGUCCUAAGGUAGCGAAAUUCCUUGUCGGGUAAGUUCCGACCCGCACGAAAGGCGUAAUGAUUUGGGCACUGUCUCGACAAUACACCCGGUGAAAUUGAAAUGCCAGUGAAGAUGCUGGCGACCUGCGCCAGGACGGAAAGACCCCAUGGAGCUUUACUCUAGCUUGGCACUGGAGAUUGAUAUGACAUGUACAGGAUAGGUGGGAGACUGAGAAAUAUGGACGUCAGUUUAUAUGGAGUCACUGUUGGGAUACCACCCUUGUUAUAUUGAUUUUCUAACCUACACUCAUGAAACUGGGUGGGGGACAAUGCCUGGUGGGGAGUUUGACUGGGGCGGUCGCCUCCGAAAGGGUAUCGGAGGCGCUCAAAGGUUCCCUCAGAAUGGAUGGAAACCAUUCGAAGAGUGCAAAGGCAGAAGGGAGCUUAACUGCGAGGGUGACGGCCCGAGCAGAUAGGAAACUAGGACUUAGUGAUCCGGUGGUAUAAAGUGGGAUUGCCAUCGCUCAACGGAUAAAAGCUACCCUGGGGAUAACAGGCUUAUCACUCCCAAGAGUUCACAUCGACGGAGUGGUUUGGCACCUCGAUGUCGGCUCAUCGCAUCCUGGGGCUGUAGCAGGUCCCAAGGGUUGGGCUGUUCGCCCAUUAAAGCGGUACGCGAGCUGGGUUCAGAACGUCGUGAGACAGUUCGGUCCCUAUCCGGCGUGGGCGUGGGAUAAUUGAAGGGAGCCGUCCCUAGUACGAGAGGACCGGGAUGUACGGACCACUGGUGUAUCGGUUGUACUGCCAAGUGCAUAGCCGAGUAGCCAAGUCCGGAAAGGAUAAACGCUGAAAGCAUCUAAGCGUGAAGCCCCCCCUAAGAUGAGUUAUCCAUUACGUAAGUAGAGAGAUUCCUUGUAGACUACGAGGUAGAUAGGGCAGAGGUGUAAGUACAGUGAUGUAUUUAGCUGACUGUCACUAAUAGAUCGAAAACUUGACCU
This 2886-nucleotide ribosomal RNA is filed under the name human gut metagenome. RNAcentral describes it as "bacterial LSU rRNA". It matches the Rfam family "Bacterial large subunit ribosomal RNA". The record is from RNAcentral.